GGAGAAGUACUCAAGAGGCCGAAGAGGCGCCCCUGCUAAGGGUGUAGGUCGGGCUAUUAUCCGGCGCGAGAGUUCAAAUCUCUCCUUCUCCGCCA
RNAcentral lists this transfer RNA (95 nucleotides) under Clostridia bacterium. RNAcentral describes it as "tRNA-Ser". It matches the Rfam family "tRNA". Rfam says of the family: Transfer RNA (tRNA) molecules are approximately 80 nucleotides in length. The record is from RNAcentral. Lineage: Bacteria; Bacillati; Bacillota; Clostridia. RNAcentral also lists the same sequence under 1 other name.